Molecule: ribosomal RNA, 486 nt
Filed under: uncultured bacterium
Lineage: Bacteria
Description: partial 16S ribosomal RNA
Rfam family: Bacterial small subunit ribosomal RNA
Source: RNAcentral
AUUGAACGCUGGCGGCAUGCCUUACACAUGCAAGUCGAACGGCAGCACGGGUGCUUGCACCUGGUGGCGAGUGGCGAACGGGUGAGUAAUACAUCGGAACAUGUCCUGUAGUGGGGGAUAGCCCGGCGAAAGCCGGAUUAAUACCGCAUACGAUCUACGGAUGAAAGCGGGGGACCUUCGGGCCUCGCGCUAUAGGGUUGGCAGAUAGCUGCUUAGCUAGUUGGUGGGGUAAAGGCCUACCAAGGCGACGAUCAGUAGCUGGUCUGAGAGGACGACCAGCCACACUGGGACUGAGACACGGCCCAGACUCCUACGGGAGGCAGCAGUGGGGAAUUUUGGACAAUGGGCGAAAGCCUGAUCCAGCAAUGCCGCGUGUGUGAAGAAGGCCUUCGGGUUGUAAAGCACUUUUGUCCGGAAAGAAAUCCUUGGCUCUAAUACAGUCGGGGGAUGACGGUACCGGAAGAAUAAGCACCGGCUAACUACGUG